This 184-nucleotide unclassified non-coding RNA is filed under the name uncultured fungus. RNAcentral's name for it is "sequence contains ITS1". Lineage: Eukaryota; Fungi. The record is from RNAcentral.
UUAAAAUAAUUUAAUAAUUUUGACUCAGACUUGAUAGAUAAAACAGAGUAUGAUUGUUCCACCGGGGCGGCGAGCGCCCCGAGGCAACGUGGUUGAGAUAACAAAGGGUUGGAGGUUAAUCAGCUCCCCGUGAAGGGCGAUGAUUAUCUCAGUAAUGAUCCCUCCGCAGGUUCACCUACGGAGA